RNAcentral lists this ribosomal RNA (720 nucleotides) under Bacillus safensis. RNAcentral's name for it is "bacterial SSU rRNA". It matches the Rfam family "Bacterial small subunit ribosomal RNA", at positions 595 to 1315 of the family's 1533-position model. Lineage: Bacteria; Bacillati; Bacillota; Bacilli; Caryophanales; Bacillaceae. The record is from RNAcentral.
UGAAAGCCCCCGGCUCAACCGGGGAGGGUCAUUGGAAACUGGGAAACUUGAGUGCAGAAGAGGAGAGUGGAAUUCCACGUGUAGCGGUGAAAUGCGUAGAGAUGUGGAGGAACACCAGUGGCGAAGGCGACUCUCUGGUCUGUAACUGACGCUGAGGAGCGAAAGCGUGGGGAGCGAACAGGAUUAGAUACCCUGGUAGUCCACGCCGUAAACGAUGAGUGCUAAGUGUUAGGGGGUUUCCGCCCCUUAGUGCUGCAGCUAACGCAUUAAGCACUCCGCCUGGGGAGUACGGUCGCAAGACUGAAACUCAAAGGAAUUGACGGGGGCCCGCACAAGCGGUGGAGCAUGUGGUUUAAUUCGAAGCAACGCGAAGAACCUUACCAGGUCUUGACAUCCUCUGACAACCCUAGAGAUAGGGCUUUCCCUUCGGGGACAGAGUGACAGGUGGUGCAUGGUUGUCGUCAGCUCGUGUCGUGAGAUGUUGGGUUAAGUCCCGCAACGAGCGCAACCCUUGAUCUUAGUUGCCAGCAUUCAGUUGGGCACUCUAAGGUGACUGCCGGUGACAAACCGGAGGAAGGUGGGGAUGACGUCAAAUCAUCAUGCCCCUUAUGACCUGGGCUACACACGUGCUACAAUGGACAGAACAAAGGGCUGCAAGACCGCAAGGUUUAGCCAAUCCCAUAAAUCUGUUCUCAGUUCGGAUCGCAGUCUGCAACUCGA